CGCAGCUACAGAUGAGAGUUUGAAGACGGCAGAGGUUGAGGGAAACUUUGGGAAUUUUGUUAUUGUGGCUGAAGAAGAUUUGACCGAAGAGAGAAAGAAGACUGAGGAAAUUGUGGGAGUUAAGGAGCAGCGUACAAGUGGCUAGAUGGAUGGACAGGAUAGCUGGGCUGAACACGUGGUUCCCAACGUGUUCCUUUAUCUUGAUUCAUUUAUUUAUGCUUUAGUUUAUUUCUUGGGAUAGCUGUAUAGCUUUUGGUCCCCACUUAUGAUCUUAGUAUAAAAGUAUGCUGCAUGAUUAUGAAACCCUAAGAAAUAUAUGAAAUUCCUCCUCUCAUCUCGCCUCUAUUCCUAAUCUUCUUAUCUCUGCUCUUUCCUUUAAUUUCCCAAGGUUACAUCUUUAUAUUAAAAUUCAUCACAAAUCAUCACCAGAAUUACUGUUACAUCCAAAUCUGUUACAUUGGUAUCAGAGCUUGGUUUUUGCUUCUAUUUAGCAAAGAUCAGGGCUGGGCAUGGCAGACGGCACGCGUGUGAAGGAACUACAGGAGGCGCACAAAAAACUGGAUCAGCAACUGCAAGCUGAAGCAAUAAAGAGGAAUGUUAGUGAACACCAGUUGAAAGAACAGAUCAAAGGGCUCGAUCAGAAAAUGGACAGUAAAUAUGAUCAGAUGGCAAAGUCAUUGGAAGAAAUCAAGCAACAUCNUAUCAGUUAAUACAUUACCAUCAAGAUGGGGUUGAAAGAAUGUACCUGAUUCUGCCUCAGGAAAAUGUUGCACAGCACCAUGUUCCUACAUCUAUUUCUGCACUUUUGGAGGAGUACAAGGAUGUCUUUGAUGAGCCACAAGGACUACCACCAAAGAGAGGAGUUGAACACCAGAUUGUACUUAAGCCUGGCAGUGUACCUAAACACCAAUUUCCCUACAGGACAACACACAGUAAUAAAGAUGAGAUUGAAAGGAUAGUGAAAGAGUUACUGGACUCUAGUACAAUUCAAAACAGCAUGAGCCAUUUUGCUUCUCCAGCAAUUUUAGUGAAGAAGAAGGAUGGUUCUUGGAGGAUGUGUAUUGAUUAUAGGUAUUUUAACUCACUUACUGUUAAACAUGAUUAUCCUAUUCCAAUCAUUGAUGAGUUGCUAGAUGAGUUGUAUGGGGCUAGCUAUUUCUCUAAGUUAGACUUGAGAUCUGGGUAUUUUCAUAUUUUAAUGAAGGAUGAAGAUAGAUACCUGACAGCUUUUAGCACUCAUCAUGGGCAUUUUGAAUUCUUGGUGAUGCCUUUUGGCCUUUGUAAUGCACCUGCAACAUUUCAGUCGUCAAUGAAUAAGGUAUUUGUAGCCAUAUUUGAGGAAAUGUGUGUUGGUUUUCUUUGAUGACAUUCUGGUCUACAGUAAGGGGUAUGGGGAACAUCUAUUGCACCUCAAAGCUGUGUUGGAGGUGCUCAGGUCACAAACUUUGUAUGCAAAAAUGAGUAAGUGCCAAUUUGGUGUGCAAAGUAUUGAGUAUCUGGGUCAUAUCAUCUCCAAGGAUGGAGUAGCUACUGAUCCACAGAAUGUGGAUAUCAUGCUUAAUUGGCCUGUUCCAAAGGCUCUUAAACAAUUGAGGGGAUUUCUUGGACUGACUGGAUAUUAUAGGAAAUUCAUUAGGCAUUAUGGGUUGAUUAGCAAGCCUCUCACUGAACUCUUAAAAAAAGACAGUUUUAAGUGGUCUCCUGAAGCUACUAGAGCCUUUGAUGGUUUGAAACAAGCUAUGGUGUCUGCACCAGUGUUAGCAUUGCCUGAUUUACUCAACCUUUCACAUUAGAGACUGAUGCCAGUAGAGUUGGAGUGGGAGCUGUUCUCAUGCAGAAUCAGAAACCUAUUGCUUACAUGAGCAAAGCCUGAUGCACUAAAAAUUAGCUGUUAUCAGUGUAUGAGAGGGAAUUCUUGGCUGUAAUCAUGGCUGUUCAAAGAUGGAGGUCUUAUCUGCAGGGCCAUAAGUUUUUUAUUCGAACUGAUCAACAGGCAUUAAGACACCUCUUGGAUCAAAAGAUAAUGAACCCUAUUCAGCAGAAAUGGAUCACCAAACUUCUGGGACUGAACUAUGAAAUCCAGUAUAGAAAGGGGAGUGAGAACAAGGCAGCUGAUGCCUUAUCCAGAUACCCAAGAGAUGAAGAGAGUUGUGACUCCCUCACUACAGUCACACCUAUAUGGAUGCAGAGAGUGAAACAGAGUUAUGAAGGGGAUGCAUACUAUUCCCAAGUCCUUCUUUCCAAACCGAUUGACCCCUCUACAUAUGCUGACUAUUCUGUCGUUGCUGGAAUUAUUCAAUAUAAAGGCAGGGUUGUGGUGGGGUCUGCUACUAAUCUUAGGCAGCUUAUUUUAAGUGAGGUGCACAGCACACCAUUUGGAGGACAUUCAGGCGUUUGGGGAACUUAUUCAAGGCUCAAGUCCUUCUUUUAUUGGCCGAAUAUGAAAAAAGAUGUGGAACUCAAAGUUCAGGAUUGUGAUACAUGUCAAAGGAACAAGGCGGAACAUGUCCAAUACCCUGGUUUACUACAACCUCUUCCUAUUCCAGAUAAAUUUUGGACUCAUAUUACCAUGGACUUCAUCGAAGGGCUACCUAAAUCUUUUGGAAAGAAUGUGAUUAUGGUGGUGGUGGACAGACUCAGUAAGUAUGCUCACUUCUUGGCACUAUCCCACCCAUUCACAGCUCAAACUGUAGCUCGGCUGUUUAUGGAUCAGGUUUAUAAGUUACAUGGUCCCCCAAUCAGUAUUGUGACUGAUAGGGAUAAGGUUUUCACUAGUCACUUUUGGAGGGAGCUGUUUAAGGCCAUUGGUACCAAACUGGAAAUGACAACCGCGUAUCACCCCCAAUCCGAUGGACAGACAGAAAGGGUGAAUCAAUGCUUAGAGGGGUAUUUACGGUGCAUGGCUGGUGCUACCCCUAAGCAAUGGGUGAAGUGGCUUUCACUAGCUGAGUAUUGGUACAAUACAAACUAUCACAGCAGUCUAAAGUGUUCUCCCUAUCAAGCUCUAUAUGGUUUGCCACCUCCACAUACCGGAUUAGGAGCUUACCUGAGUUCUCCCAACCAGGAAGUGAAGGAAUGGUUGUCACAGAGGCAGGCUAUGGUUACCACAUUGAAGAAAAAUUUGGUCUUGGCUCAAGAACGAAUGAAACUCUAUGCCGACAAAAAACGAACAGAAAGAAGCUUUCUAGCAGGCGAUUUUGUUUACCUCAAAUUGCAGCCCUAUCGUCAGAGCUCUGUUGUCUUGAGAAAAAAUCUGAAAUUGGCGGCGAAGUAUUACGGUCCCUAUCAGAUCGAGGAAAAAAUUGGUGAGGUUGCUUAUAAAUUGAAGCUUCCCGAGUCGUCGAAAAUACACCCUGUAUUUCAUGUUUCGCUCCUCAAGAAGUGUUUGGGGAAGAACAUUGUACCUUCUAGUGAGCUUCCUGAUGUAGAUGCCGAAGGACAUUUCAAGGUGGUCCCUUUUUCGAUUCUGGACCAUCGCACCAUAACUCGUGAGGGGAAGUCGGUACAGCAAGCUUUGGUUCAAUGGACAGAAUCUGGUGCUGAGGCAGCAGAAUGGGUGGAUUUGAAACUUCUUCGCCGGAAAUUCGAAAUUACUGAUCCUUGCGGUCAAGGAUCUGAAAAUCCGGGAGGUAUUGUUACGAACAUGGUCGAGAAUGAAGGUGCAACUGUCGAGGAUGAAGGCGCAGCUACAGAUGAGAGUUUGAAGACGGCAGAGGUUGAGGGAAACUUUGGGAAUUUUGUUAUUGUGGCUGAAGAAGAUUUGACCGAAGAGAGAAAGAAGACUGAGGAAAUUGUGGGAGUUAAGGAGCAGCGUACAAGUGGCUAGAUGGAUGGACAGGAUAGCUGGGCUGAACACGUGGUUCCCAACGUGUUCCUUUAUCUUGAUUCAUUUAUUUAUGCUUUAGUUUAUUUCUUGGGAUAGCUGUAUAGCUUUUGGUCCCCACUUAUGAUCUUAGUAUAAAAGUAUGCUGCAUGAUUAUGAAACCCUAAGAAAUAUAUGAAAUUCCUCCUCUCAUCUCGCCUCUAUUCCUAAUCUUCUUAUCUCUGCUCUUUCCUUUAAUUUCCCAAGGUUACAUCUUUAUAUUAAAAUUCAUCACAAAUCAUCACCAGAAUUACUGUUACAUCCAAAUCUGUUACA
RNAcentral lists this long non-coding RNA (4138 nucleotides) under Salvia miltiorrhiza (redroot sage). RNAcentral describes it as "long non-coding RNA (SMIL_LNC005429)". Lineage: Eukaryota; Viridiplantae; Streptophyta; Magnoliopsida; Lamiales; Lamiaceae. The record is from RNAcentral.